Molecule: microRNA precursor, 125 nt
Filed under: Brassica napus (rape)
Lineage: Eukaryota; Viridiplantae; Streptophyta; Magnoliopsida; Brassicales; Brassicaceae
Description: MIR9563 microRNA precursor family
Rfam family: MIR9563 microRNA precursor family
Source: Rfam by way of RNAcentral
GGAAUAUAAGAACCUGUCUCUUAAUUUUUAACUAAAAAAACUAAGAACCGGUUCUUAAAUAAGAGUUUUAAGAGCCGGUUCUUAACUUUUUUAGUUAAAAGUUAAGAGACGAGUUCUUAUAUUCC